Molecule: ribosomal RNA, 462 nt
Filed under: uncultured Glomus
Lineage: Eukaryota; Fungi; Glomeromycota; Glomeromycetes; Glomerales; Glomeraceae
Description: SSU rRNA
Rfam family: Eukaryotic small subunit ribosomal RNA
Source: RNAcentral
AGCAGCCGCGGUAAUUCCAGCUCCAAUAGCGUAUAUUAAAGUUGUUGCAGUUAAAAAGCUCGUAGUUGAAUUUCGAGACCGGUUUAUUGGUCGUGCUUUUGUACGUACUGGUAUUAUUGGUUUCUCCUUUCUGACGAAUCUUAAUGCCAUUAAUUGGUGUUUGGGGAAUCAGGACUGUUACUUUAGAAAAAAUUAGAGUAGUUUAAAGCAGGCUCACGCUUGAAUACAUUAGCAUGGAAUAACGGAAUAGGACGUUUGAUUCUAUUUUGUUGGUUUCUAGGAUCGACGUAAUGAUUAAUAGGGAUAGUUGGGGGCAUUAGUAUUCAAUUGUCAGAGGUGAAAUUCUUGGAUUUAUUGAAGACUAACUACUGCGAAAGCAUUUGCCAAGGAUGUUUUCAUUAAUCAAGAACGAAAGUUAGGGGAUCGAAGACGAUCAGAUACCGUCGUAGUCUUAACCAUAAA